UGCAGUCGAGCGGUAGAGAGGAGCUUGCUUCUCUUGAGAGCGGCGGACGGGUGAGUAAUGCCUAGGAAUCUGCCUAGUGGUGGGGGAUAACGUUCGGAAACGGACGCUAAUACCGCAUACGUCCUACGGGAGAAAGCGGGGGACCUUCGGGCCUCGCGCCAUUAGAUGAGCCUAGGUCGGAUUAGCUAGUUGGUGAGGUAAUGGCUCACCAAGGCGACGAUCCGUAACUGGUCUGAGAGGAUGAUCAGUCACACUGGAACUGAGACACGGUCCAGACUCCUACGGGAGGCAGCAGUGGGGAAUAUUGGACAAUGGGCGAAAGCCUGAUCCAGCCAUGCCGCGUGUGUGAAGAAGGUCUUCGGAUUGUAAAGCACUUUAAGUUGGGAGGAAGGGUAGUAACUUAAUACGUUGCUACUUUGACGUUACCGACAGAAUAAGCACCGGCUAACUUCGUGCCAGCAGCCGCGGUAAUACGAAGGGUGCAAGCGUUAAUCGGAAUUACUGGGCGUAAAGCGCGCGUAGGUGGUUCAGUAAGUUGGAAGUGAAAUCCCCGGGCUCAACCUGGGAACUGCUUUCAAAACUGCUGAGCUAGAGUACGGUAGAGGGUGGUGGAAUUUCCUGUGUAGCGGUGAAAUGCGUAGAUAUAGGAAGGAACACCAGUGGCGAAAGGCGACCACCUGGACUGAUACUGACACUGAGGUGCGAAAGCGUGGGGAGCAAACAGGAUUAGAUACCCUGGUAGUCCACGCCGUAAACGAUGUCAACUAGCCGUUGGGAGUCU
This 781-nucleotide ribosomal RNA is filed under the name Pseudomonas sp. 9X. RNAcentral's name for it is "bacterial SSU rRNA". It matches the Rfam family "Bacterial small subunit ribosomal RNA", at positions 56 to 832 of the family's 1533-position model. The record is from RNAcentral. Lineage: Bacteria; Pseudomonadati; Pseudomonadota; Gammaproteobacteria; Pseudomonadales; Pseudomonadaceae.